GGGGGUCCGGGGUCCCCUCACGGAUCGGAUCCGGGGGCACCGCCCGCGUUGGAAACCGGCAACCUCCUUGUUUUCUUCAUUUUUAAUUUUUCCCUUUUUUUUUCGCCCCAUCCCCUUUCCUGGGGCUCGGGGGCGCAGCUGCGGAGCCCGAGAGGCGCUGGCGGGCAGGACAGGGAUCCCACCCCUGAAAAAAAGCAUGGAAGUGGCUUUUUCUCAUGUUCCUUCCCUCGAAGCAAUGUCCCGAGGCUGGGUCCGGGGACUGCAGCAGGGGAUGGAGCAGCUCCCGUUGUACAUCGUGUUUUCCCAACCCAUCCACCCGUGCCCGGGGACUGUUGGUAACAAGGUCCCGGCCGUGCGUGAAUCCCAGAAACUGCUUUGCAUAACAGUUUUAUUUUCACGGAGUAAUCUUCCCUGUUAGCUGCGUUUUCAAAAUGUUUGGCAAUCGGUCCUUAAUACCUACGCUGUUUUGCAAACUGGCUUUUUCAAGGCGUUGCUGGCCCAGCUGCCGGGGGGGCGUGCCCUGUGCUCUGUGAUUUAGGGCAAAGUGGACAAAAAAUUGGGGAAAGAACAGCUUACUUCAGGAUCUUUAUCACCAAGACAGGGUUCCAGUGUUUUUGGAAAACUUCUCCUUCCACUUUAAUUAAAAUAAUUAAAAGAUCCAGAUCAUUUUAGUAUUGGAUUUUCCUAAAUACAUUUGUAUUAAAAUUUACGUUUAAUGCCUCCUAAGUCUUUGAAGAAUAACCACCAGCCAAGCCUCUGAUGCACUGCCACUGCAAGAAGAUACUUGUACCCAAGAAGGUUUUCAAUAUUCAUCAGUGAUGCAUUUAUAAAGAGACAGCUCCUUGCAAAAAUGUAAAUACAGGAAGAAAUAAACCUAAAUAAAUCCUUUGCAUUUGCAGCCCCAGACUUAAA
Pipra filicauda (Wire-tailed manakin) is the source of this 912-nucleotide long non-coding RNA. RefSeq lists it as uncharacterized. Lineage: Eukaryota; Metazoa; Chordata; Aves; Passeriformes; Pipridae. The transcript is spliced from 2 exons. The record is from RefSeq and is a predicted model, not a curated record.